UUGCAAAUGGUCACUUUGCCGAGUGUCAUCUCUCCGCCACUCAGCAAAGUGACCAGAAUCGACCUAUUUUUCAUUUUUUUACAUUUUACCACGAAAAAUACAAUAUAUCACAUAUAUUUCACAUUCUUCAAAGAUAUCUUAGAUAUAUCUCAUAUUCAUCAUAUAAAUCUCACAUCCAUCACAUAAAUAUCAUAGACAUCACAUAAAUGUCACAUCUAAACAAAUCCAUAAGUCCAUCUAAACAAAUUCACAAGUCCAUUACAAGUUCAUCUAAACAAAUCCAUAAGUCCAUCACAAGUGCAAAUAAUUAACACAAGUGCAUCGUAAGUCCAUCACCAACUAAACAACAAAUGCAAGAGAGAACUAGCCGGGUCCCCAAGUUCCCCACUGCGACUGUGGUGUACCAUGACCGGGAUCAAUAGAGGGCCCGACCGAUGGAUUAUUCGAACCGGCGGUUGGAGGCAAUCACCUAGAGUGAUAAUCCGCUGCUGUGAAGUCUCUGGCCGUAGACGUAUGUGAAUGCUUGUGAAAAAGUUUGAAGGCAAAAAAUAAAAAAUAAAAAAAAUUUUGCCGAGUGUCUGCCUGUGGCACUCGACAAAGGAUGAUGGUGUGUACCACCGUUACCCGUUGCCAAUUGCAAAGAUGUGCCGAGUGGCUGGGACUCGGCAAAGAGCUGAGUGCCAAACUGUGCUGAGUGCUAGACACUUGGCAAAGAGGCUCUUUGCCGAGUGUCAUGCUUUGCCGAAUGCGGCACUCAGCAACGAGGCUCUUUGCCGAGUGUCUGAGUUUUGGCACUCGGCAAAGCAUAUGACAUUCAGUAAAGUUCUGGUUUCCUUGUACUGCUUACAAUUUAGAACAGAUGAAAUAAAUCUUAAGAAUCUUUAGAAUAAUCCGCCUCUUUUGUGUAAAUAUAUUUGGGCACGUGUCUGUAGUAUAUCACCCAUCUGCUAUAAUGCGAAAACUAAGGAUGUCAUCCUUGGACAUGCGUCUGUGGUUAAAUAUUUAGAAGCGUGUGUUAUAGGCGUCUGUAAUUAUGUAAUUAUUAGAUAUUGCAGACGCGCAUUGAUACCGACUGACAAGGGUUAUUGUUCACAGACGCGUGUACCAGAAAAGGCAUCAGUAAGAUGAAACACAGACACGUGU
RNAcentral lists this long non-coding RNA (1143 nucleotides) under Sorghum bicolor (sorghum). RNAcentral's name for it is "long non-coding RNA (SBIC_LNC010785)". Lineage: Eukaryota; Viridiplantae; Streptophyta; Magnoliopsida; Poales; Poaceae. The record is from RNAcentral.